AUCAGAGCCUGUGGUCCUGAAUGCUGCAGUUCACGCUGCCAACUUUUUGGGGUAUUGGGGAUUGAACCCAAGGCCUUUGCACUGAGCUACAUCCCCAGCCCUUUCCAUCCGCACCCCUGAUGUGCAUCUCCCGCUCCCCAGUGUGGCUCCCGAUCCUGCUCCCUGCCCGCCCAUUCUGCUCUUUUGUUCCCUCAUAGGUGGCUGUGUGCUGAGCUCCCCUCUUGCCAGGGCUGGAUGCCCAGCAGGAGGCCAGGGGUGCGGUGGGCACCCCCAGAACGCUCUUCCAUCAAGCUUGGACCCCCGGGGUGUGGGGUGUCAGGCACAGCUGCUGGAGUGGAGGGGACCCACUGCUGGGGUUUGUUCCAAAUGCCUGCAGGAUGUUGAUCUCCAGUGUCAUAAACUAAGGGCAUUAUGAGGGCGGAAAUGCAAUCCAACUCCAGUGUUAAGGUGGGGACUUUGGAGAGGGAUUAGGUUAGUUAGGAUGAUUAGGAUGGAGCCCAUGAUCAAGUCCUGGUGGCUUUGAGAGAGACUGAGCAAACAGCUCACAGACACACUCAUGCACACAUGUGAUGCCAUGUCCUGCCUCUUUUCUUCCUUUUUUUUUCUGAGACAGGGUCUCAUGGCAAUCCUCCUGCUUCAGCCUCCCAAAUGCUGGGAUACAGGCAUGUGCCUCUAAGCCUGGCCAACCUCUUUUCUUUGUAAGUGUCCUGCCUUAGGUGUCUUGUUAUAGUGAUGGCAGGAGGACUGAUACACUCACACUGUCGGAUGUGUCCUCACCCAGGAUUCCUUCCAGCAGCAAGAGGUUUGCAGACAUCUGAAGGUGAGUCUAGGUCUGGCCCUCUUGACCUUGCUGGCGUCAUUUAACAAAUAUUUAUCGAGGGCCUACUAUGGGCCAGGCCUUGUUCUAGGCCUGACAUCACGUUCAUGAGGUCUGCGGAGUUUUUAUCCUGUUGGAAGGAGACAGAUAAAAAUGUUGAAACCAGGCUGGGGAUUUAGCUCAGUGGUUCCGCCACCUGCCUUGCAAGCACAAGGUCCCGAGUUCAAUCCUAGGUACCAAAAAAAAAAGAACCACAAAGGGCUGUAUUAGGUCAGGUGGUACAAGGGCCAUAAGGUAAUUACGGCGGGUGAGCUGUCAGGGACAGGUGUGUGAGCCAUUUAAAUGGUCACAGAAAGCUUUUCUGAGGCAGACCUUGAAUGGAGACCUAAGGAGAGAUCUGUGGAGCCAUCUGUUUCCAAGCAGAAGAUACAGCAUGUACAAAGGCCCCGAGGUGAGCCCAUUCCUGGCACGGGGCUGGAGGGGAGCUGAGAGGGGAAGAAGACGCUGCCGGGGCCCGGUAGUUGCAGCUGUGACACCCCCAGGCUGCACAGGAGGGAGACACUGGGGAGGUCGCCGCUGCCAAAGUAGCCCCACUCAUCUGAGGAGCGGGUUAGGCAGAGCCAGGGGGUUCCUCCAAGCUGCCACUGCAGAAAAAGUGGGACCUGGCCGCAGGCCCCUCCCCUCCGGGUGGGCUCCGGAGCUUCCAGCACACUGGAGCUGGGCAGCCCUGAGUCAGUCACAGUGGGCAGACGAAGCUCCCGUCCCCGAACACAUGGGGCUCCGCUGUGUCCUUCCGAUCCGAUCCGUGGAUGCCUCCGAGGAGAGCAGCUCGGCUCCUUAAUUCUCUUCCGCUCUCCCUACUGAAUGAGCCCCUCAGAGGAAGGCAGGGGUCCCGCCACCCCUUCUUCCUGCCAGGCUCCCCGAACCAGGUGGUGGGAGAGGCUGCUCCCCUUUGCUGGAGGUCCCUGCCCGACGUCCACACAUAAGACAACCUGUCCAGCGAGGCUUUUGUGAGCCACUAGAGCCACCCUACAGCUCACCUGGGCAGCAUGUAGGACAGUUCUGUCCCCUCGGUGCCCCGUGUUCUGGAUUCCCGUCCCCAGCUUACUGUCCUGACCCUGACAGUCCCAGCUCCUGCCUUCUCCAGCGCUUCCUGCCAGCUCUCUGUGUGGCUCACAAGAUUCCUGUCCCUCUGGUCGCUCCACUGACGCGGGGAAGGCUGGGCCUCGUUUGUCCUCCGUCCUGGGCUCCUGACACCCUGCUACUCCCUAGCUGCAUCCACCGUCAGCACCUACUCCAUCACCCACCCAAUCCCUUCUUGUCCCGGUGACUGUGACGACCCUCUGUGGGGUCUCCUGCUUCUGCAGCUGCUCCAGGGGCAGCAGAGUGAGUCUCACAAUGUGCGUUAAGAUUGUCACUCUCACCUAAAUUCUUCAAUGACUUCCCAGCGCUCUCACCUUAGAACGCGAACUCCCUACUGUGGCUUACCUGACCCAGCCCGUGUCAUCUGGUGCCAACCUUCCUUGAAUCGCUCCGUCCCCUGCUUGCUUUGCAAUAAACUCAUCACCACCUCAGAAUCUUUGCAUUUGCUGGGCCUGCUGCUGAAAUGCUCUCUCUCUAGAGCCUCUCUUGCUUGCCUCUUCUCAUGCCCUGGGUCAUGGCUGGAACGUCCCCUCCACCUGUCUGAAGCAGUCCCCAUGUCCUGGGCAGUCACCUUGCACCUUCUUCUGUCUAUUCUGAUUCCCUCUGAGGAGUUACCCAGUCUGUGACCACUUGACUCAUGAUGUUGUCUGUGUCCUCCAUGGGUGAGGCCUUGGUUCCAGGACAUCGUGUAUCUGGCACCUAAGAUUCACCUACGAAAUACUCAACGAGCGGGUGAGUGAACGAAUGAAUGGAAGCUGAUCCUGACACUGAGUAGAUUCAGCUUGAAGCUCACCUGUCUCCUGUCCCAUUUCUUUCAAAGAUUCCUACAGCCAAGGACUAAUGAAGAAUUUAUUUGUGCUCAUGAAUAUGUAUUAGGUCUUUCACGAUAAGAUGUGCAUAUUUUAAUAAGGAAUGUCUAGAGACACAAUUUUUAAGUUGAGGGACAUCAGCCCAAUAACAAGGAGGUAAAAUGCUGCUGAGUGUAGCGUGGCUGUGUAGGACAUAAGGGCCCUGACCAGCAUCAGGUCAUAGAACUUGUGGCCUCUGGGGUGCAGUGGGGGGGGGGG
This is a long non-coding RNA of Heterocephalus glaber (naked mole-rat), 3027 nucleotides long. NCBI's taxonomy places the organism in Eukaryota, Metazoa, Chordata, Mammalia, Rodentia, Bathyergidae. The record is from Ensembl.